GGGUUGUGAGGUUAAGCGACUAAGCGUACACGGUGGAUGCCCUGGCAGUCAGAGGCGAUGAAGGACGUGCUAAUCUGCGAAAAGCGUCGGUAAGGUGAUAUGAACCGUUACAGCCGGCGAUGUCCGAAUGGGGAAACCCAGUGUGAUUCGUCACACUAUCGUUAACUGAAUACAUAGGUUAACGAGGCGAACCGGGGGAACUGAAACAUCUAAGUACCCCGAGGAAAAGAAAUCAACCGAGAUUCCCCCAGUAGCGGCGAGCGAACGGGGAGCAGCCCAGAGUCUGAAUCAGCUUGUGUGUUAGUGGAACGGUCUGGAAAGUCCGACGGUACAGGGUGAUAGUCCCGUACACCAAAAUGCACAGGCUGUGAACUCGAAGAGUAGGGCGGGACACGUGGUAUCCUGUCUGAAUAUGGGGGGACCAUCCUCCAAGGCUAAAUACUCCUGACUGACCGAUAGUGAACCAGUACCGUGAGGGAAAGGCGAAAAGAACCCCGGCGAGGGGAGUGAAAAAGAACCUGAAACCGUGUACGUACAAGCAGUGGGAGCACCUUCGGGUGUGACUGCGUACCUUUUGUAUAAUGGGUCAGCGACUUAUAUUCUGUAGCAAGGUUAACCGUAUAGGGGAGCCGCAGGGAAACCGAGUCUUAACUGGGCGUUAAGUUGCAGGGUAUAGACCCGAAACCCGGUGAUCUAGCCAUGGGCAGGUUGAAGGUUGGGUAACACUAACUGGAGGACCGAACCGACUAAUGUUGAAAAAUUAGCGGAUGACUUGUGGCUGGGGGUGAAAGGCCAAUCAAACCGGGAGAUAGCUGGUUCUCCCCGAAAGCUAUUUAGGUAGCGCCUCGUGAACUCAUCUUCGGGGGUAGAGCACUGUUUCGGCUAGGGGGUCAUCCCGACUUACCAACCCGAUGCAAACUACGAAUACCGAAGAAUGUUAUCACGGGAGACACACGGCGGGUGCUAACGUCCGUCGUGAAGAGGGAAACAACCCAGACCGCCAGCUAAGGUCCCAAAGUCAUGGUUAAGUGGGAAACGAUGUGGGAAGGCACAGACAGCCAGGAUGUUGGCUUAGAAGCAGCCAUCAUUUAAAGAAAGCGUAAUAGCUCACUGGUCGAGUCGGCCUGCGCGGAAGAUGUAACGGGGCUAAACCAUGCACCGAAGCUGCGGCAGCGACACUAUGUGUUGUUGGGUAGGGGAGCGUUCUGUAAGCCUGCGAAGGUGACCUGUGAGGGUUGCUGGAGGUAUCAGAAGUGCGAAUGCUGACAUAAGUAACGAUAAAGCGGGUGAAAAGCCCGCUCGCCGGAAGACCAAGGGUUCCUGUCCAACGUUAAUCGGGGCAGGGUGAGUCGACCCCUAAGGCGAGGCCGAAAGGCGUAGUCGAUGGGAAACAGGUUAAUAUUCCUGUACUUGGUGUUACUGCGAAGGGGGGACGGAGAAGGCUAUGUUAGCCGGGCGACGGUUGUCCCGGUUUAAGCAUGUAGGCUGGUUGUCCAGGCAAAUCCGGAUAAUCAAGGCUGAGGUGUGAUGACGAGGCACUACGGUGCUGAAGUAACAAAUGCCCUGCUUCCAGGAAAAGCCUCUAAGCAUCAGGUAACAUCAAAUCGUACCCCAAACCGACACAGGUGGUCAGGUAGAGAAUACCAAGGCGCUUGAGAGAACUCGGGUGAAGGAACUAGGCAAAAUGGUGCCGUAACUUCGGGAGAAGGCACGCUGGUGUGUAGGUGAAGUCCCUGCGGAUGGAGCUGAGACCAGUCGAAGAUACCAGCUGGCUGCAACUGUUUAUUAAAAACACAGCACUGUGCAAACACGAAAGUGGACGUAUACGGUGUGACGCCUGCCCGGUGCCGGAAGGUUAAUUGAUGGGGUUAUCCGUAAGGAGAAGCUCUUGAUCGAAGCCCCGGUAAACGGCGGCCGUAACUAUAACGGUCCUAAGGUAGCGAAAUUCCUUGUCGGGUAAGUUCCGACCUGCACGAAUGGCGUAAUGAUGGCCAGGCUGUCUCCACCCGAGACUCAGUGAAAUUGAACUCGCUGUGAAGAUGCAGUGUACCCGCGGCAAGACGGAAAGACCCCGUGAACCUUUACUAUAGCUUGACACUGAACAUUGAGCCUUGAUGUGUAGGAUAGGUGGGAGGCUUUGAAGCGUGGACGCCAGUCUGCGUGGAGCCAACCUUGAAAUACCACCCUUUAAUGUUUGAUGUUCUAACGUUGGCCCCUUACCGGGGUUGCGGACAGUGUCUGGUGGGUAGUUUGACUGGGGCGGUCUCCUCCCAAAGCGUAACGGAGGAGCACGAAGGUUAGCUAAUCCUGGUCGGACAUCAGGAGGUUAGUGCAAUGGCAUAAGCUAGCUUGACUGCGAGCGUGACGGCGCGAGCAGGUGCGAAAGCAGGUCAUAGUGAUCCGGUGGUUCUGAAUGGAAGGGCCAUCGCUCAACGGAUAAAAGGUACUCCGGGGAUAACAGGCUGAUACCGCCCAAGAGUUCAUAUCGACGGCGGUGUUUGGCACCUCGAUGUCGGCUCAUCACAUCCUGGGGCUGAAGUAGGUCCCAAGGGUAUGGCUGUUCGCCAUUUAAAGUGGUACGCGAGCUGGGUUUAGAACGUCGUGAGACAGUUCGGUCCCUAUCUGCCGUGGGCGCUGGAGAAUUGAGGGGGGCUGCUCCUAGUACGAGAGGACCGGAGUGGACGCAUCACUGGUGUUCGGGUUGUCAUGCCAAUGGCACUGCCCGGUAGCUAAAUGCGGAAGAGAUAAGUGCUGAAAGCAUCUAAGCACGAAACUUGCCCCGAGAUGAGUUCUCCCUGAGACUUUAAGUCUCCUGAAGGAACGUUGAAGACGACGACGUUGAUAGGCCGGGUGUGUAAGCGCAGCGAUGCGUUGAGCUAACCGGUACUAAUGAACCGUGAGGCUUAACCUUACAACGCCGAAG
This 2923-nucleotide ribosomal RNA is filed under the name Klebsiella pneumoniae. RNAcentral describes it as "23S ribosomal RNA". It matches the Rfam family "Bacterial large subunit ribosomal RNA". Lineage: Bacteria; Pseudomonadati; Pseudomonadota; Gammaproteobacteria; Enterobacterales; Enterobacteriaceae. The record is from RNAcentral.